RNAcentral lists this long non-coding RNA (1036 nucleotides) under Vulpes vulpes (red fox). RNAcentral's name for it is "lncRNA (ENSVVUG00000020096.1)". Lineage: Eukaryota; Metazoa; Chordata; Mammalia; Carnivora; Canidae. The record is from RNAcentral.
UAACAAAGGAAUAUAAAGUAAAAAAAAAUGUAAAAAAAAAAGACCAAUUCCUUAAAGAAAAUGGACUAAUUAUUUGACAGAAGAUAAAACACAGCAUCUGAAACAAAAUGUCUAUUCUUAUCUCAUACUCUGCGCAAACAUCAACUUCAAAUAGACCAGUAGUCUAAAUGUAUCUCUUAAAAGAAUCAAACUCCUUGAAGGAAACGAAAAAAAAAAAAAUAUGUGCAGGCUUGGGGAAUGCAAAUAUUUCUUAAGAGAACUCAAUCAACACAGAACACAAGUCCUCUACGUUCCAGACUCCAUAUACCAGAUUCCCUUGCUAAGUGGUUUAUGGUUUAUGACUAUAUUCAGCCAUUGGAAACCUUAAUAAGCAAUCAGAGAAAAGAAGACCAGACGGAUAUCCCUCCAAUCUCUCUUAUUUGGAUCAGCAGCUUCGUUUCAUCUAUGGUUUCCAGCGAGUGCUAUAACAAACCCCCUUGUGUGAUCCAAGUUUCUUUACCAGAAAAUGUCCCACACUAUAUUUCUAACCUUUUGCCCCAGCCUUCUGGAUACUUGGGAUAACAUAGUCUCCCUGUGUCCCUCUAGUCUAUGAGUAGUAUUGAUUUCUCACUAUUGCUCAUCUCUGGAUUCUCAAUAUUUAUGUUUUCCAACAUCUAUGUAAUCAAUUUGCUAUAUUAAAUAUCCUCUGAUUAAAAUACAGGGGUUUGUGUGUUUUGUUUUAAUUGGAAACUGACUUACACAUUCCUUUAAUUGCUUGUCACACUCCUGCUAUUCACUUAUUCAGGACAAAUAAUGAUUAAGAGCCUUCUUUAAUUGUUUUAUUUUGUAUCCUUCCUAAAGUAGUAUGAUAUUAUUGAGCCAGUGAAUGCAAUGAAGUUUUGUGUCUAUUUUCUCUUGACAUUAUAUAUAUAUUUUUCUAUUUGAAACAUUUGAGCAAAAAAGGAAAGUUUUCCAUUUGUUAUCUCAUGAAUUUUGCAGUCUUCAAAAUGAUAGCCAAAUAACAAUUACUCUUGUCAUAAACAAUAUGUGCUUAAAG